This 497-nucleotide ribosomal RNA is filed under the name uncultured bacterium. RNAcentral describes it as "partial 16S ribosomal RNA". It matches the Rfam family "Bacterial small subunit ribosomal RNA", at positions 28 to 507 of the family's 1533-position model. The record is from RNAcentral.
GAUGAACGCUGGCGGCGUGCCUAAUACAUGCAAGUCGAGCGAACGGACGAGAAGCUUGCUUCUCUGAUGUUAGCGGCGGACGGGUGAGUAACACGUGGAUAACCUACCUAUAAGACUGGGAUAACUUCGGGAAACCGGAGCUAAUACCGGAUAAUAUUUUGAACCGCAUGGUUCAAAAGUGAAAGACGGUCUUGCUGUCACUUAUAGAUGGAUCCGCGCUGCAUUAGCUAGUUGGUAAGGUAACGGCUUACCAAGGCAACGAUGCAUAGCCGACCUGAGAGGGUGAUCGGCCACACUGGAACUGAGACACGGUCCAGACUCCUACGGGAGGCAGCAGUAGGGAAUCUUCCGCAGUGGGCGAAAGCCUUACGGAGCAACGCCGCGUGAGUGAUGAAGGUCUUCGGAUCGUAAAACUCUGUUAUUAGGGAAGAACAUAUGUGUAAGUAACUGUGCACAGCUUGACGGUACCUAAUCAGAAAGCCACGGCUAACUACGUG